GAUGAACGCUGGCGGCGUGCCUAAUACAUGCAAGUCGAGCGAACAGAUGAGGAGCUUGCUCCUCUGACGUUAGCGGCGGACGGGUGAGUAACACGUGGAUAACCUACCUAUAAGACUGGGAUAACUUCGGGAAACCGGAGCUAAUACCGGAUAAUAUAUUGAACCGCAUGGUUCAAUAGUGAAAGACGGUUUUGCUGUCACUUAUAGAUGGAUCCGCGCCGCAUUAGCUAGUUGGUAAGGUAACGGCUUACCAAGGCAACGAUGCGUAGCCGACCUGAGAGGGUGAUCGGCCACACUGGAACUGAGACACGGUCCAGACUCCUACGGGAGGCAGCAAUAGGGAAUCUUCCGCAAUGGGCGAAAGCCCGACGAAGCAACGCCGCGUGAGUGAUGAAGGUCUUCGGAUCGUAAAACUCUGUUAUUAGGGAAGAACAAAUGUGUAAGUAACUAUGCACGUCUUGACGGUACCUAAUCAGAAAGCCACGGCUAACUACGUG
Molecule: ribosomal RNA, 497 nt
Filed under: uncultured bacterium
Lineage: Bacteria
Description: partial 16S ribosomal RNA
Rfam family: Bacterial small subunit ribosomal RNA
Source: RNAcentral